CAACAGCCUGUAGACAUGGGUCAUAAGAGUCCUCUGCUGGCUAUGGCUCAGGUGACUUGAGGGCAGUUUGCUGGGGAGAGUUCAGCAAACCACUGAGAGAAAUCUACUAGAAACAGUCUGACAAUAAAUUAAGGGAAAAUUCAAUGGCAACAUUCCAAAAGCUAUAAAAGCAACCCGCAAAAAAUUAGAGGCUUGCAUGGAUCCAUAAGGAGAAUUCUUGGCAGUCUGUGUGAGUGCACUUGCAAGUGGGAGAAGGGCAGAAAGAGGAAGACAGAGGAUCCAAAGCUGGCUCCAUGCUGACAGCAGAGAACUUGAUGUGGGGCUUGAACUCACAGAAUUGCAAGAUCUGAGCCGAAUCCUGAUGCUUAACUGACUGAGCCACCCUGGCGCCCCAACCUAUACUUUUUGUUCUGUUUCUUUCAUUCUGUCUUUCUUACUCAGGGGUGCUGCAAGAACUGAACAUUUCAUUGGAUCUGGGAGCAGAAUGGCUUGCACCUUGUUUCUUGAAAGAAACCAAUGAUGAUGAUGGCAAGACCCUGGGGAUGAAAUGCUUCCAUGGUAUGUCCAGGUAAGCAGGGCCAUAGGCAAAUUCACAAAAUACCCAUGCCCAAAGUUUGACGUAAAAGUUGCCAAAGGAUAGGGCACCUGGGUGACUCAGUUGGUUAAGUGUCUGACUCUUGAUUUCGGUUCAGGUCAUGAUCUCACGGUUUGUGAGAUCAAGGCCUGCACAGGGCUCCAUGCUGAC
RNAcentral lists this long non-coding RNA (745 nucleotides) under Felis catus (domestic cat). RNAcentral describes it as "lncRNA (ENSFCAG00000045967.2)". Lineage: Eukaryota; Metazoa; Chordata; Mammalia; Carnivora; Felidae. The record is from RNAcentral.